GUGAACGCUGGCGGUAGGCCUAACACCUGCAAGUCGAACGGCAGCACCGUAAGAGCUUGCUCUUACGGGUGGCGAGUGGCGGACGGGUGAGGAAUACAUCGGAAUCUACUUUUUCGUGGGGGAUAACGUAGGGAAACUUACGCUAAUACCACAUACGACCUACGGGUGAAAGCAGGGGAUCUUCGGACCUUGCGCGAUUGAAUGAGCCGAUGUCGGAUUAGCUAGUUGGCGGGGUAAAGGCCCACCAAGGCGACGAUCCGUAGCUGGUCUGAGAGGAGGAUCGGCCACACUGGAGCUGAGACACGGUCCAGACUCCUACGGGAGGCAGCAGUGGGGAAUAUUGGACAAUGGGCGCAAGCCUGAUCCAGCCAUACCGCGUGGGUGAAGAAGGCCUUCGGGUUGUAAAGCCCUUUUGUUGGGAAAGAAAAGCAGCAGGUUAAUACCCCGCUGUUCUGACGGUACCCAAAGAAUAAGCACCGGCUAACUUCGUG
Molecule: ribosomal RNA, 491 nt
Filed under: uncultured bacterium
Lineage: Bacteria
Description: partial 16S ribosomal RNA
Rfam family: Bacterial small subunit ribosomal RNA
Source: RNAcentral